CUAGAAAACGUCAGGAUUGCACAUUGCAAUCUGGACAAAACCUAAGGUGAUGAAUUUGUAAAUGUUAAUCUUCAAUGCUAAUGGAUUGUUGUUGCUAUCUGCAUGCUUCAAAGAAAGGUUACCCUGUCUGGUUGGUUUACCAUUUAUCUUAGACUGCAGCCUCUUGUUUCGUAUUAUUUUGCAGUUUUUCCAGUGCUUACAAGGCUUGAAUGCUUGAAUGCUCCUUUUAAAUGCUUUUAAAAACCUUUCCUGUAUGCAUUUCUUACCAGAUGGAAACAGAGAAGCAGCAAUUAAGUCCACAAUCAUGUAUUUCCUGAGAUGUACAUGGAAAGAAAUUCACUUUGAGACAUAACAGUAAUAAUUAACUGUAGAUCCCCAAAAAGAUACAAAACAUAGAAGUAACAAUGAAAUUAUCAUUUUGCUGAGACUUGGAGGAAAAAUAAUCAUUUUGAAACGUUGGAUUCCAUAUCAAUUUCGUACUAGGUGCAAAACAGAGAAGCAAGGAAAAGAGCAUGUGCUGAGACUCAAGAGGAGAAAAUCAAAUUGGGACAUUGGAUCUCAUAGGAGGCACAAGACAGAAAAAAA
Long non-coding RNA from Orbicella faveolata, 585 nucleotides. The record is from RefSeq and is a predicted model, not a curated record. NCBI's taxonomy places the organism in Eukaryota, Metazoa, Cnidaria, Anthozoa, Scleractinia, Merulinidae.